Molecule: ribosomal RNA, 253 nt
Filed under: uncultured bacterium
Lineage: Bacteria
Description: partial 16S ribosomal RNA
Rfam family: Bacterial small subunit ribosomal RNA
Source: RNAcentral
UACGUAGGGUCCAAGCGUUAUCCGGAAUCACUGGGCGUAAAGCGUGCGUAGGCGGGUAUUUAAGUGAGAUGCGAAAUCUUGUGGCUCAACCAUAAGACUGUAUCUCAUACUGGAUACCUAGAGGAUGGCAGAGGCUAGUGGAAUUACGGGUGUAGCAGUGAAAUGCGUAGAGAUCCGUAGGAACACCAAUGGCGAAGGCAGCUAGCUGGGCCAUUUCUGACGCUAAGGCACGAAAGCGUGGGGAGCGAACAGG